RNAcentral lists this long non-coding RNA (454 nucleotides) under Setaria viridis. RNAcentral describes it as "long non-coding RNA (SVIR_LNC010440)". Lineage: Eukaryota; Viridiplantae; Streptophyta; Magnoliopsida; Poales; Poaceae. The record is from RNAcentral.
GGGUGGCGGCGCUAGGGCAACAAUGCUCGGUGCGGCGCUAGGGAAACAAUGAGAAGAUGAAUGGCUCGGGCGCAUUAGCUCGGGUAAAUGGAAGGGAUAAGAUUCCUCUGAUAUUUAUAACCGUGGCACAGGUAACCGAGCGGCGAGAAUUACGGGGAAUAUUCCAUUUUUAAAGCCAUCGGUUAUCGCCGGAACGGUUACCAAUAUUUUUGGAAGAGAUAAGAUUUCUGAAGAUAAAUGAUCACAUGGACCAAUUGUUGACGCUUAUACCCAAACUAGUCGUGGAACGGCUCAGGGGCUGUGUGCCACGUGCCCGUUGGACAAAAAAAAAUUUCUCUGGGUUUUAAGGGGAAAAAGAUGUGAAAUUAUAAGAUUGACUCCCAACCUGAUUCUUCGAUUCAACAUAAGACUCAGGGGCUACUCUAUAUGGAGUGCGAUUUUCAUCACACUUCCA